RNAcentral lists this ribosomal RNA (275 nucleotides) under uncultured bacterium. RNAcentral describes it as "partial 16S ribosomal RNA". It matches the Rfam family "Bacterial small subunit ribosomal RNA", at positions 338 to 605 of the family's 1533-position model. The record is from RNAcentral.
CCUACGGGUGGCUGCAGUGGGGAAUUUUGGACAAUGGGGGCAACCCUGAUCCAGCCAUGCCGCGUGCGGGAAGAAGGCCUUCGGGUUGUAAACCGCUUUUGGCAGGAACGAAACGGUGCGGGCGAAUACCCUGUGCUAAUGACGGUACCUGCAGAAUAAGCACCGGCUAACUACGUGCCAGCAGCCGCGGUAAUACGUAGGGUGCGAGCGUUAAUCGGAAUUACUGGGCGUAAAGCGUGCGCAGGCGGUUGUGCAAGACAGGUGUGAAAUCCCCG